RNAcentral lists this ribosomal RNA (254 nucleotides) under uncultured bacterium. Its description in RNAcentral is "partial 16S ribosomal RNA". It matches the Rfam family "Bacterial small subunit ribosomal RNA", at positions 524 to 776 of the family's 1533-position model. The record is from RNAcentral.
GACGUAGGGCGCGAGCGUUGUCCGGAUUUAUUGGGCGUAAAGAGCUCGUAGGCGGUGUGUCACGUCGGCCGUGAAAACCUGCAGCUUAACUGUGGGCGUGCGGUCGAUACGGGCAUCACUGGAGUUCGGCAGGGGAGACUGGAAUUCCUGGUGUAGCGGUGAAAUGCGCAGAUAUCAGGAGGAACACCGGUGGCGAAGGCGGGUCUCUGGGCCGAUACUGACGCUGAGGAGCGAAAGCCAGGGGAGCGAACGGG